UACGUAGGGUGCGAGCGUUGUCCGGAAUUAUUGGGCGUAAAGAGCUUGUAGGUGGUUUGUCGCGUCUGCUGUGAAAAUCCGAGGCUCAACCUCGGACUUGCAGUGGGUACGGGCAGACUAGAGUGAUGUAGGGGAGACUGGAAUUCAUGGUGUAGCAGUGAAAUGCGUAGAGAUCAUGAGGAAGACCAGUGGCGAAGGCGGGUCUCUGGACAGUUCCUGACACUGAGGCACGAAGGCCAGGGGAGCAAACGGG
This 253-nucleotide ribosomal RNA is filed under the name uncultured bacterium. RNAcentral describes it as "partial 16S ribosomal RNA". It matches the Rfam family "Bacterial small subunit ribosomal RNA", at positions 524 to 776 of the family's 1533-position model. The record is from RNAcentral.